CCUCCUAUCUUACCAUAACAAAAAGUCCUCUCUCUCUCUCUCUCUUUCACACUCUCACUUUUUCUGUGCUUCUCUUCUCUCUCCUUUCACCCUCUUGGAAUAAUAGAGUAGGGAGAAAAAAAAGGGUCUCAAAGAUGAGACCAAAAGACGGGUUUUUCAUCAAAGGUCCCUAUAAGGGAGGGUUUUUUCUCAUGCAUGUGGCUAGCAGCAGCAGCAAGUGCAAGGUGGCCAUGAGCAUGACCAUGGUCAACGACCCUUUGAGGAGAAUUGGGAGGUGUGACCAAAAAAAAGAAGCCAUUAGUGGCUCUGAAAUUGGAGCUGACAAUUCUCCUGCAGCAGGAGCAGCUUCUUCAUUCUAAUCUGGUGCUAUCCUAUCUGAGCUUUUUACUACUACUACUACCCUUUCUUUCUUCAUCUAAUUUCUACCACACUUUUCUCUUUGUUUUUCCCUUGGAGUCUUCUUCUUGACCUUGUAAGACCUUUUCUUGACCUUGUAAGACCUCACACCCUAUCUCUUCUCUUUGUUUUUGCUUUUGUGGAAGACCCUGUAUCACUAUCCACUGAUAUAGAGUUUGAUCUCCUUCUUUCCCCGUUACCACCCAACUCAUACUUUCCUUCCUUGUCUAUCCCUCCUGAGCUGUUCCAAUUUAAUUAAUUUGGCCUACCAUAUAUGAUGCAACAAUUUAAUGUAAUAUUAUGCCAUACCAUGGUAUCAUAUGGUAUGGUAUAGCUUCAUAGAAAUUAAUUAAGGACCUUACCUUAACCUUAGAAGUUACAACCUCUGCCAAAUGUGUUGCUAGCUAUUUGGAGACCAUGGCUUCCAAGAGAGUACAACAAUUGGGGUAUAUUAUUUUUAUUUUAUUUGAUAUUUUUUUUUAUCUUGGUGAGAAAUUAAUGUAGUUCGUGCAGCAUCAUGGUUGGUCGUGGUCCUUAAGGUAUCUGUGGUAAGUUGUAAAGAGUGGCCAUAGUUAAUAAUAAAUCAAUGCUGCUAGUAUUCAGAGGAAAUUCAAAAGCCAAAUCUGUAUCAUAUAUAUUUCUGUUAUGGCAAUCAAUUUCGCUUGUAUCAUUGUGUGCAGAAUAUUUAUGCUGUGUUGCAGACAUCUGUUUCGUUGUUUUAUAUGUUGUUUGGCUGAGAAAGUGUGCAACAACUGCAUACCAUAUUAUUCUUUUAGAUCUAAGCAAGAGUCUCCCUCGUGACUGC
Glycine soja is the source of this 1201-nucleotide long non-coding RNA. RefSeq lists it as uncharacterized. Lineage: Eukaryota; Viridiplantae; Streptophyta; Magnoliopsida; Fabales; Fabaceae. The transcript has 2 exons. The record is from RefSeq and is a predicted model, not a curated record.